GGCGACCGGGUGAGUAACACGUGACUAACCUGCCCUUGAGUGGGGGAUAACCUCGGGAAACCGGGGGCGUGAAUACCGCAUAAUUUCACGAGGUGAAAUUCCUUGUGAUCAAAGGAGCAAUUCGCUGAAGGAGGGGGUCGCGGCUGAUUAGCUAGUUGGUGAGGUAACGGCCCACCAAGGCAAUGAUCAGUAGCCGGCCUGAGAGGGCGCACGGCCACACUGGGACUGAAACACGGUCCAGACUCCUACGUGGUAGGUCUAUGCAGUGGGGAAUUUUGCGCAAUGGGGGAAACCCUGACGCAGCAACGCCGCGUGGAGGAUGAAGUCCCUUGGGAUGUAAACUCCUUUCGAUCGGGACGAUUAUGACGGUACCGGAAGAAGAAGCACCGGCUAACUCUGUGCCAGCCGCCGCGG
This 414-nucleotide ribosomal RNA is filed under the name uncultured bacterium. RNAcentral's name for it is "bacterial SSU rRNA". It matches the Rfam family "Bacterial small subunit ribosomal RNA", at positions 97 to 520 of the family's 1533-position model. The record is from RNAcentral.